AAAAUGUACUUUUACUACUUUACCAACCAUAAGAGUAACAUAAAUAAGAACGUAAAUGUAUAUCCUUUUAUUAUUAUAAUUAAAAAGGGAAAUAUAAAAUGUAAAAUUUAUUGCUAUAUAAAUUAUAUGUUAAUAAUAAAUAUUUAAAACUUCAAUGGUAAUAUAUAUAUAUAUAUAUUUAUAUAUAUACAAAAUAAACGUUACAAUACUUUUGUUCAUUUAUAUAUUUUCUUUAUUUCACAUUUAACCAUUUUUAAUUAAAUAAAAACUUCAUUUACUUUCAAAUGUCCUUAUAAAUAUAAAAGUAUAUUAAAAAAUAUCCUUUUCUUACGAAAAAAAUAUAAUAAAAUAAAAACAUAGUAACUCUUAAUUUAUAAAUAUAUUCUGAUGAAUAUUAUUACUAAAAAUAUUUUCUUUUUGUUGAUAUUAUUAAUAAAUAUAUUUAUAAAGCCAAGGUAAUACAGAUUUAAAUAUAAUAUAUAUAUCUAUAUCAAAAUAAUUGAGAAAACUGAAAAAAAAAAAAAGAAAAGAAAAAUAUUCUCUUUAAUAUUGAAACAAUAUAUAAUAUUAUUACAUAAUAAAUAUUUUGUUUUUGGAACUAAUAAGGAUCGUUAUAAAAUAAAUAUUAGCAACAUAAAAAAUAAGAUGAUUAAGAAUAUUUAAAAUAUAAUAUAUAUAUAUAUAUGAAUACUUUUGAGAGCUUGCGAAUAAAAUUUUUUCCUUUUUAUUACGAAAAAAAAAAAAUUAAAGU
RNAcentral lists this small RNA (751 nucleotides) under Plasmodium praefalciparum (nom. ined.). RNAcentral describes it as "Plasmodium sp. gorilla clade G1 ncRNA". Lineage: Eukaryota; Apicomplexa; Aconoidasida; Haemosporida; Plasmodiidae. The record is from RNAcentral.